This 1027-nucleotide ribosomal RNA is filed under the name Staphylococcus aureus. RNAcentral's name for it is "partial 23S ribosomal RNA". It matches the Rfam family "Bacterial large subunit ribosomal RNA", at positions 444 to 1477 of the family's 2925-position model. Lineage: Bacteria; Bacillati; Bacillota; Bacilli; Caryophanales; Staphylococcaceae. The record is from RNAcentral.
CUGGGAGGACCAUCUCCUAAGGCUAAAUACUCUCUAGUGACCGAUAGUGAACCAGUACCGUGAGGGAAAGGUGAAAAGCACCCCGGAAGGGGAGUGAAAUAGAACCUGAAACCGUGUGCUUACAAGUAGUCAGAGCCCGUUAAUGGGUGAUGGCGUGCCUUUUGUAGAAUGAACCGGCGAGUUACGAUUUGAUGCAAGGUUAAGCAGUAAAUGUGGAGCCGUAGCGAAAGCGAGUCUGAAUAGGGCGUUUAGUAUUUGGUCGUAGACCCGAAACCAGGUGAUCUACCCUUGGUCAGGUUGAAGUUCAGGUAACACUGAAUGGAGGACCGAACCGACUUACGUUGAAAAGUGAGCGGAUGAACUGAGGGUAGCGGAGAAAUUCCAAUCGAACCUGGAGAUAGCUGGUUCUCUCCGAAAUAGCUUUAGGGCUAGCCUCAAGUGAUGAUUAUUGGAGGUAGAGCACUGUUUGGACGAGGGGCCCCUCUCGGGUUACCGAAUUCAGACAAACUCCGAAUGCCAAUUAAUUUAACUUGGGAGUCAGAACAUGGGUGAUAAGGUCCGUGUUCGAAAGGGAAACAGCCCAGACCACCAGCUAAGGUCCCAAAAUAUAUGUUAAGUGGAAAAGGAUGUGGCGUUGCCCAGACAACUAGGAUGUUGGCUUAGAAGCAGCCAUCAUUUAAAGAGUGCGUAAUAGCUCACUAGUCGAGUGACACUGCGCCGAAAAUGUACCGGGGCUAAACAUAUUACCGAAGCUGUGGAUUGUCCUUUGGACAAUGGUAGGAGAGCGUUCUAAGGGCGUUGAAGCAUGAUCGUAAGGACAUGUGGAGCGCUUAGAAGUGAGAAUGCCGGUGUGAGUAGCGAAAGACGGGUGAGAAUCCCGUCCACCGAUUGACUAAGGUUUCCAGAGGAAGGCUCGUCCGCUCUGGGUUAGUCGGGUCCUAAGCUGAGGCCGACAGGCGUAGGCGAUGGAUAACAGGUUGAUAUUCCUGUACCACCUAUAAUCGUUUUAAUCGAUGGGGGGACGCAG